CCUACGGGGGGCAGCAGUGAGGAAUAUUGGUCAAUGGUCGCAAGCCUGAUGCAGCCAUGCCGCGUGUAUGAUGAAGGUCCUACGGGUCGUAAACCGCUUUUGCACGGGGAUAACACCCUCCACUUGUGGCGGUCUGCAGGUACCGUGCGAAUAAGGGCCGGCUAAUUCCGUGCCAGCAGCCGCGGUAAUACGGAAGGCCCGAGCGUUAUCCGGAUUCAUUGGGGGUAAAGGGAGCGGAGGCGGCCAUGCAAGGCAGGGGUGAAAGCCCGGGGCCCAACCCCGGGACUGCCGUUGGAACUGGAUGGCUGGAGUGCGGGAGAGGUAGGCGGAAUGCGUGGUGUAGCGGUAAAAUGCGUAGAGAUCAAGAGGAAUACUCAGUGCGAAGGCGACAUGCUAGAACAUAACUGACGCUGAGGCGCGAAAGCGUGGGGAGCAAACAGGAUUAGAUACCCCAGUAGUC
Molecule: ribosomal RNA, 460 nt
Filed under: uncultured bacterium
Lineage: Bacteria
Description: partial 16S ribosomal RNA
Rfam family: Bacterial small subunit ribosomal RNA
Source: RNAcentral